Ovis aries (sheep) is the source of this 72-nucleotide transfer RNA. It matches the Rfam family "tRNA". Rfam says of the family: Transfer RNA (tRNA) molecules are approximately 80 nucleotides in length. The record is from Rfam. Lineage: Eukaryota; Metazoa; Chordata; Mammalia; Artiodactyla; Bovidae.
UCCCUGGUGGCUCAGAAGGUAUAGAAUCUGCCUGUAAUGCAGGAGACCUAGGUUCAAUCCCUGGGUCGGGAA